RNAcentral lists this ribosomal RNA (171 nucleotides) under uncultured bacterium. Its description in RNAcentral is "partial 16S ribosomal RNA". It matches the Rfam family "Bacterial small subunit ribosomal RNA", at positions 1328 to 1500 of the family's 1533-position model. The record is from RNAcentral.
GGAAUUGCUGUAAUGGCAGGUCAGCAUACUGCCGUGAAUACGUUCCCGGGCCUUGUACACACCGCCCGUCACACCAUGAGAGUUGGGAAUACCCGAAGCCUGUGAGCUAACGUUAGGAGGCAGCAGUCGAAGGUAGAAUCAAUGAUUGGGGUGAAGUCGUAACAAGGUACC